Molecule: non-coding RNA, 825 nt
Organism: Phasianus colchicus (ring-necked pheasant)
Lineage: Eukaryota; Metazoa; Chordata; Aves; Galliformes; Phasianidae
Source: RefSeq, a predicted model, not a curated record
GGCCGCCCCCGCUGGGGGAUGAGCGGACCCCGGGGUCCCUCAGCCGCCCGCCGCCACGCUCUGAGGGAGGUCCGGCGGCGGCCGUGCGGCCCCGGCUGAUGUGCUGGAGAGCGAUGGACUCUAGGGGUCUUGGUUCUGGAAAAUAAGCGCUAAAUAACACCCCCCUGCCCCCCCCUUUCUCUCCCCCCAUAAAAGAAACGAAAAAUCAACCCACGAUUCCUCUCAACGCUGAUCGAAUGUGCAGCGAAAAGAAGCAAACUUUGUUUUGCUCACAGCAACGUUUGUUUGUCAGCACGCGUCGGAGGCAGCAUCUGUCCUGCGUGGCUGACAGAUCUCUGCACCGCAGUAACUUCCACCCUCGUGGGUUUCUGGUUCUGAGGCUUGGAAAGACAAAGUGCUUCACGUGAGGAUGUGUUACACAGCCCUGAGCUCAGAGAUGGAAAGUGAAGAUGGUCCGUAUCAAACCAACUGGGAGUCCAGAGAAAGCCGCUGCUUCCCCCUGAUCGGCGCCAGCUGGACUUGUCUGUCUUCUGGGUGCCAGGACCUGUAAUUAAUCCUAAGUCUUUCAGCCCAUUCAGAGGUAUUAUUUCUUGUUGCUCUCCAACAGACUCUUUCCAUAACAGCCUACAGCCUUCUUGAAAUGCAGAGCGCAAAACUGGAGAGAAAAUACCAGCUGAAGCAUUACCAGAGGUGAACAUAACUGCAUGAUCUCAGCAUAUGUCUCAUACCUGCUUAUUCAUCUCUGCAUCAUAUUUGUUCUGUCUCUUCAGUGUGACAUUAUUGUUUGUGCUGAUCCACUAUAAUCACUACGUGUUGUUCUGAAAA